CAGCAGUUUGUAGUAAACUACUGCUGCUCUGCAGAAACUUUGUCCUAGAAAACAACACAGUUAUUUGGUUUUGGCUAAAAACUGCAUAAUCAUAAUUAAAAGACCACAUGAAUGCUUUUACAGCAGAUUAAAAAAUUAACGGGGUGUGUUUUCAGAAACGCAGGCAUAAUAUUCUUUCUUUUUUUUGCUGUUUGUCCUCAGGCCUGUAUGAAACCGAGAAUGUUCAAAGUGGUUUUUGUCAGCAUCCCAUUCAUCGAACACUACGACACGUUGAAGGAAAUUAACCGCAGGCAACAAAGGAUAAAGAUAAAAGCUCAAAAAAUGCAGAAAAACUGCAGCUUCUCCAGUCCUUCUCAGACGCCUUCCUCCAUCAAACCACC
This is a long non-coding RNA of Oryzias melastigma (Indian medaka), 380 nucleotides long. RefSeq lists it as uncharacterized. The transcript is spliced from 2 exons. The record is from RefSeq and is a predicted model, not a curated record. NCBI's taxonomy places the organism in Eukaryota, Metazoa, Chordata, Actinopteri, Beloniformes, Adrianichthyidae.